This 171-nucleotide ribosomal RNA is filed under the name uncultured bacterium. RNAcentral's name for it is "partial 16S ribosomal RNA". It matches the Rfam family "Bacterial small subunit ribosomal RNA", at positions 357 to 516 of the family's 1533-position model. The record is from RNAcentral.
GGGUAUCUUGCGCACUGGGACGAAAGUCUUGACGGCAGCAACGCCGCGUGAGUGAUGAAGGCUUUCGGGUCGUAAAACUCUGUUGUUAGGGAAGAACAAGUGCUAGUUGAAUAAGCUGGCACCUUGACGGUACCUAACCAGAAAGCCACGGCUAACUACGUGCCAGCAGCG